Molecule: small nucleolar RNA, 107 nt
Organism: Oryza sativa Japonica Group (Japanese rice)
Lineage: Eukaryota; Viridiplantae; Streptophyta; Magnoliopsida; Poales; Poaceae
Rfam family: Plant small nucleolar RNA R71
About the family: R71 is a member of the C/D box family of snoRNAs containing the C (UGAUGA) and D (CUGA) box motifs. Multiple nearly identical copies of this snoRNA have been identified in Arabidopsis, and it is thought to function as a 2'-O-ribose methylation guide for 18S ribosomal RNA.
Source: Rfam
AUCCCAUGAUGAGGAUACGAGGCCACAUAUUCCUGAAAUCGUUCCCAUGCUUCAGGAAAGGACUCGUCCCUUGUCUGCUGGAAACUGGAAAUCCUUCCUUGGAGAGC